Molecule: ribosomal RNA, 658 nt
Filed under: uncultured Staphylococcus sp.
Lineage: Bacteria; Bacillati; Bacillota; Bacilli; Caryophanales; Staphylococcaceae
Description: bacterial SSU rRNA
Rfam family: Bacterial small subunit ribosomal RNA
Source: RNAcentral
GAGCUUGCUCCUCUGACGUUAGCGGCGGACGGGUGAGUAACACGUGGAUAACCUACCUAUAAGACUGGGAUAACUUCGGGAAACCGGAGCUAAUACCGGAUAAUAUAUUGAACCGCAUGGUUCAAUAGUGAAAGACGGUUUUGCUGUCACUUAUAGAUGGAUCCGCGCCGCAUUAGCUAGUUGGUAAGGUAACGGCUUACCAAGGCAACGAUGCGUAGCCGACCUGAGAGGGUGAUCGGCCACACUGGAACUGAGACACGGUCCAGACUCCUACGGGAGGCAGCAGUAGGGAAUCUUCCGCAAUGGGCGAAAGCCUGACGGAGCAACGCCGCGUGAGUGAUGAAGGUCUUCGGAUCGUAAAACUCUGUUAUUAGGGAAGAACAAAUGUGUAAGUAACUAUGCACGUCUUGACGGUACCUAAUCAGAAAGCCACGGCUAACUACGUGCCAGCAGCCGCGGUAAUACGUAGGUGGCAAGCGUUAUCCGGAAUUAUUGGGCGUAAAGCGCGCGUAGGCGGUUUUUUAAGUCUGAUGUGAAAGCCCACGGCUCAACCGUGGAGGGUCAUUGGAAACUGGAAAACUUGAGUGCAGAAGAGGAAAGUGGAAUUCCAUGUGUAGCGGUGAAAUGCGCAGAGAUAUGGAGGAACACCAGUGGCGAA